Molecule: ribosomal RNA, 256 nt
Filed under: uncultured archaeon
Lineage: Archaea
Description: partial 16S ribosomal RNA
Rfam family: Bacterial small subunit ribosomal RNA
Source: RNAcentral
UAAUACAGAGGUCUCAAGCGUUGUUCGGAUUCAUUGGGCGUAAAGGGUGCGUAGGCGGCGCGGUAAGUCGGGUGUGAAAUCUUGGAGCUUAACUCCGAAACUGCAUUCGAUACUGCCGUGCUUGAGGACUGGAGAGGAGACUGGAAUUUACGGUGUAGCGGUGAAAUGCGUAGAUAUCGUAAGGAAGACCAGUGGCGAAGGCGGGUCUCUGGACAGUUCCUGACGCUGAGGCACGAAGGCCAGGGGAGCAAACGGG